CCUACGUGAGGCAGCAGUGGGGAAUAUUGCGCAAUGGGCGAAAGCCUGACGCAGCGACGCCGCGUGAGGGAUGAAGGUCUUCGGAUCGUAAACCUCUGUCAGCAGGGAAGAACGGUCACUGUGCUAAUCAUCAGUGAAUUGACGGUACCUGCAAAGGAAGCACCGGCUAACUCCGUGCCAGCAGCCGCGGUAAUACGGCGGGUGCGAGCGUUAAUCGGAAUUACUGGGCGUAAAGCGCUCGUAGGCGGUAUGUCAAGUCAAGGGUGAAAUCCCCGCGCUCAACGUGGGAACUGCCUUUGAAACUGGCAAACUGGAGUGUGUGAGAGGAUAGUGGAAUUCCAGGGGUAGGAGUGAAAUCCGUAGAUAUCUGGAGGAACAUCAGUGGCGAAGGCGACUAUCUGGCACAUAACUGACGCUGAGGAGCGAAAGCGUGGGUAGCAAACAGGAUUAGAUACCCCAGUAGUC
RNAcentral lists this ribosomal RNA (465 nucleotides) under uncultured bacterium. RNAcentral describes it as "partial 16S ribosomal RNA". It matches the Rfam family "Bacterial small subunit ribosomal RNA", at positions 338 to 795 of the family's 1533-position model. The record is from RNAcentral.